AGUGGACGCUGGCGGCAGGCCUAACACAUGCAAGUCGAACGGCAGCACAGUAAGAGCUUGCUCUUACGGGUGGCGAGUGGCGGACGGGUGAGGAAUACAUCGGAAUCUUCUUUUUCGUGGGUGAUAACGUAGGGAAACUUACGCUAAUACCGCAUACGACCUACGGGUGAAAGCAGGGGAUCUUCGGACCUUGCGCGAUUGAAUGAGCCGAUGUCGGAUUAGCUAGUUGGCGGGGUAAAGGCCCACCAAGGCGACGAUGCGUAGCUGGCCUGAGAGGAUGAUCAGCCACACUGGAACUGAGACACGGUCCAGACUCCUACGGGAGGCAGCAGUGGGGAAUAUUGGGCAAUGGGCGCAAGCCUGAUCCAGCCAUACCGCGUGGGUGAAGAAGGCCUUCGGGUUGUAAAGCCCUUUUGUUGGGAAAGAAAAACAGCAGGUUAAUCCCCCGCUGUUCUGACGGUACCCAAAGAAUAAGCACCGGCUAACUUCGUG
This 492-nucleotide ribosomal RNA is filed under the name uncultured bacterium. RNAcentral's name for it is "partial 16S ribosomal RNA". It matches the Rfam family "Bacterial small subunit ribosomal RNA", at positions 29 to 507 of the family's 1533-position model. The record is from RNAcentral.